Molecule: ribosomal RNA, 430 nt
Filed under: uncultured bacterium
Lineage: Bacteria
Description: bacterial SSU rRNA
Rfam family: Bacterial small subunit ribosomal RNA
Source: RNAcentral
UGGGGAAUCUUGCGCAAUGGACGAAAGUCUGACGCAGCAACGCCGCGUGAGUGAAGAAGGCCUUCGGGUUGUAAAGCUCUGUCGUAUAGGACGAAAGCCACAUACAUGAAGAAGGUAUGUGUUUGACGGUACUGUAAAAGGAAGCACCGGCUAACUCUGUGCCAGCAGCCGCGGUAAUACAGAGGGUGCAAGCGUUGUUCGGAAUUAUUGGGCGUAAAGAGCAGGUAGGUGGUCUUAUUAGUCUAAGGUGAAAGCCUUGAGCUUAACUCAAGAAGUGCCUUGGAAACGGUAAGACUAGAGUCUUGGAGAGGGUCGCGGAAUUCCCGGUGUAGCGGUGAAAUGCGUAGAGAUCGGGAGGAACACCAGUGGCGAAAGCGGUGACCUGGACAAGUACUGACACUCAACUGCGAAAGCAUGGGGAGCAAACAGG